GGCGGUUAAAAUUUUCACUUACAAUGAAAGACACCCUUUAGGGCGCUUUUAUACCGGUAAAUAUUUAAU
Molecule: transfer RNA, 69 nt
Filed under: Gammarus lacustris
Lineage: Eukaryota; Metazoa; Arthropoda; Malacostraca; Amphipoda; Gammaridae
Description: tRNA-Val
Source: RNAcentral